GGGGAGCGUUCUGUAAGCCUGUGAAGGUGGCCUGUGAGGGUUGCUGGAGGUAUCAGAAGUGCGAAUGCUGACAUAAGUAACGAUAAAGCGGGUGAAAAGCCCGCUCGCCGGAAGACCAAGGGUUCCUGUCCAACGUUAAUCGGGGCAGGGUGAGUCGACCCCUAAGGCGAGGCCGAAAGGCGUAGUCGAUGGGAAACGGGUUAAUAUUCCCGUACUUGGUGUUACUGCGAAGGGGGGACGGAGAAGGCUAUGUUGGCCGGGCGACGGUUGUCCCGGUUUAAGCGUGUAGGUGUGUGUUCCAGGUAAAUCCGGUUCACUUUAACACUGAGGCGUGAUGACGAGGCACUACGGUGCUGAAGCAACAAAUGCCCUGCUUCCAGGAAAAGCCUCUAAGCAUCAGGUAACAUCAAAUCGUACCCCAAACCGACACAGGUGGUCAGGUAGAGAAUACCAAGGCGCUUGAGAGAACUCGGGUGAAGGAACUAGGCAAAAUGGUGCCGUAACUUCGGGAGAAGGCACGCUGACAC
RNAcentral lists this ribosomal RNA (527 nucleotides) under Salmonella enterica subsp. enterica serovar Kentucky. Its description in RNAcentral is "partial 23S ribosomal RNA". It matches the Rfam family "Bacterial large subunit ribosomal RNA", at positions 1231 to 1757 of the family's 2925-position model. The record is from RNAcentral. Lineage: Bacteria; Pseudomonadati; Pseudomonadota; Gammaproteobacteria; Enterobacterales; Enterobacteriaceae.